Molecule: ribosomal RNA, 466 nt
Filed under: uncultured bacterium
Lineage: Bacteria
Description: bacterial SSU rRNA
Rfam family: Bacterial small subunit ribosomal RNA
Source: RNAcentral
UCGCCAGACUCCUACGGGAGGCAGCAGUGAGGAAUAUUGGUCAAUGGCCGAGAGGCUGAACCAGCCAAGUCGCGUGAGGGGGGACGGCCCUACGGGUUGUAAACCUCUUUUGUCAGGGAGCAAGGGACAGGUCGUGACCUGUUGUGAGAGUACCUGAAGAAAAAGCAUCGGCUAACUCCGUGCCAGCAGCCGCGGUAAUACGGAGGAUGCGAGCGUUAUCCGGAUUUAUUGGGUUUAAAGGGUGCGCAGGCGGAGGCAAAAGGCAGGGGAAAAAUCGGGGGGCUCAACCCCGCUCCGCCGUUGAAACUGUGUCCCUUGAGUGCGCGAAGGGUAGGCGGAAUGCGUGGUGUAGCGGUGAAAUGCAUAGAUAUCACGCAGAACUCCGAUCGCGAAGGCAGCCUACCGGCGCGCUACUGACGCUCAUGCACGAAAGCGUGGGUAUCGAACAGGAUUAGAUACCCUGGUA